RNAcentral lists this long non-coding RNA (5225 nucleotides) under Citrus maxima (pomelo). Its description in RNAcentral is "long non-coding RNA (CMAX_LNC001291)". Lineage: Eukaryota; Viridiplantae; Streptophyta; Magnoliopsida; Sapindales; Rutaceae. The record is from RNAcentral.
UACCUUUUAUCUCCUCAAUUAAAACAUUUUCUUCUCUUUUUCUCUAUUAUUUAUUUUUUUUAAAUCCCCAAAAAAUCUUCUUGAAAGCCAAUCGCUUCCAGUAAUGCUCUCAUCUUGCUAAUCUUUCCUACUUUCCUUCUUUUUUGUCUCGUCUUUUUCCCAGGCUUCGUCAACCUUCCAUUUUUUUUGCGUCCUUUCUCUCUUUCCUUUCUUCUUUUCCUUUUCCUUUCUUCUUUCUUUUCUCUUUUUCCUUUCGUUUUUUUUCUCUUUUCUCUUUUUUCCUUUCUCUCAGCCAGUCUUCUCAUCUCGCGGUUCCCGGCAAAGACUUCCGAUCGUCGUUGCGGUGAUUCUCGGCGCCAGAUUUGGAUGGCAUGCAGCGGUAUUUCGUCCGACGGUUCGCUGAAUAGCGUUUCUCCUUUCUCACGUCGUUUUCAUUUUUUUUUGACGAAAUCCCUAAUGGGUUUCUUUUUUCCAUUGACAGCCGCCAUCCAGCUUCAUCCCUCUAGCCAUUUCCGGUGACUCUGCGGCUUCCCUUGGCGAUUUUCCGGCGAACUGCGACUCCGCUUGGCAAUUGUUGUCGGAUCUACAACUUCUUUUGGCGAUUUUCCAGCAAACCGCAGCUGCUCUUGGUGAUUUUUCGGUGAGCCACAAACCUUUGGUGUUUUUCGGUGGUUCUUGAUUAUCUGGGGUGAUUUUCAGCAGUGUGGGUGAGUUUCUUCUACUGUUUUUGUUAUAUAUAUAUAUUAUUUGUAUAAGUAUAUAUAGGUAUUUAUAUAUGUUUACAUGCAUGUGUAUACAUGUGGGUAUUUAUUUAUCUAUGUGUGUACUCUUACUCAUUGAUCUUGGUGAAUGUAGCUUUAUCAUUCCAUGUUUACAAAUUCUGAUUUGUGGAAUUGGUGAGUUUGAUGUGCCCUUUUUUCCAUCUUUCCUUUUUUCUUGGUAUAUACAUUGUUACACUAUGUUGCAUAUUCUAAAAAAAAAAAUUCUUCAUUCUUUAUUUUUCAUGUUUUUGGUUGUGGUUAAUGGUUGAUAAAUGGUGUGGAUGUGUAUUUGACAGAAAGAUGUGGAUUGAAGGGGACUCAUGUGGUCAGAAGUAGUAGUGUAAAUAGCCUUCAUACUGAAUCUCCUUCCCAUAUUUCCAUUAGUGAAGACGAAAAAUCUUCUCCCAAUGUCUCUAACAAUGGUAAUCUAUAUCCUUGGUCUCCUCCCACUAGGGGUGUCUACCGCAAUAGCCCACGCUUUUCCGGUACACCAUCAACCCACCAAUCUCAGAAAAAGGCUAAGCCAUCUACCCAUGUGACCCGAGUUCAUUCCUCAUAUCGAGUUCCUAGAUCUCCCUCUGCUCUUAUUUCAAAAUCUAGUUAUCUCCAUUCGCUAGAAGCUAAGAGGGCUACUUUGGGUUACUUAGAACGAAUUAAGGGCAGGCAUAACAUUCCUUCCUAUGUCCAGCUUAGGGUACCCUGUGUAGAUGAGCAACUAAAAUGCCCUUCAACUGAUGAGAUUGCCCUUCACAUUGACCUCUUUGAUCUAAGACUCCGCUGCCUCUCUAACCUUCUUUUAUCAGGAUGUUUAGUACUUGAGGAUAGCUCUUAAGCAGCUAUCUCUUCUAGGGUGGAGGACACUCACAGAUUUGCAAGUAUUAUAGUCGGAAGUAUUGGGGCAUGCUAUUUAUAUUCGAUAUUUGAGGGGACUUUACCAAUUUAAGAAGCCCAAAGGUCAUGUUGUUGCUUAUUUCUCUACCUCGGGUGUCCAUGGCAAUCUUAUUAGAGGGGACCCUGUCUUGAAGAAGGGUUAUAAAUAAGGUAGGUUUGUUGCUGAUGGUAAGUGGUGGGAGGAUACCCCAGAUGAUAAAGACAGUAAGUGUUCCCCUCGUAGCUGAUCAUUAUUUAUUUUUAUCCUAGUCCACUUGCAUAAAUGUUUUGCUAACCUUGGGUUCCCCAUGGCUUUAUAGAUGUCACGUGGGUGAAAAGGUCAUGCCCUAUUCAGGAGGUGGGGAGAGAGGUGAGUAACUUUAUGGAGAGGUUCCGAGCUGUAUAGAGGGGUAGUGAUGUGUUGCAGGAGAGUAGGUUGGAGAGAGCGGGGCUAAUUGACAAAGGUUUUUCAUCUCUUUCUAGUGGCGAGUCAUGUAUGACUUUUAGGUGUUAAGGGGGUACCCUAUUAUUAUCCAUGUGACGAAGGUGCCCCACGAUCACCAUGUUUUACAUUUAGCUUUGCUAUUUUCUAUUUCCCUUUGCUUUGUGUUCGUUUUCUCGUGUGUUAGGUGCAGAUAUAGAAUCAACGGAUGACGCUUUUGAUGCUUUCUUCUAAGGGAUGGUGGGUGUAUCUUUCGGUACUCAGGAUUUUGCAUUACCACAAAAGAAUACUCGCCUCUUCAUGGCCCUAGAGUAAAGGUGAAAUCGCAAGGUACCUCUCAGACUGGAUCGUUCCCAAAAGAGAAAAUUUGGGUUAGUUUCUUUAUUUCCUGAUGAUCUUCAUGAGGGUGAACUAGAUCCGAUGUCCAACUAGAAGUUCUCAUAUCUAGCCCAUUGUUUUUAUUAUUCUGCAGAGAACGUUACCCCUAAGAUUGCCGCGGAGACAGAUAUGUUUAGUUUGAGUGAGCGUUAUGGCCGAACACUUAAGGCUACUCAAGAAGUAAGUUCUUCUAGGUUACCUCGAGUAUACUUUUUCUCAUUCAUUAUUUAUUUAUUUAUAUAGUUAUACACACACACACACACACACACAUAUAUAUAACACUCUUCAACAACUGUAAGGGGCCUUUCUUCUGAGUCAUUAUCUUCCAGACUUUUAUUCAUUUGUCGCUACCCAGUCAAAGGUUGAAAAUUUGAUGGGUGAGCUCUAAAGUCAACAAUCUCUUAAGGAAAAGCUUGUUUAGGAAGUCAAGGCAAUGAAUGAGCGCCUUGAUGAUCUGUCUGGAGAGAAAGCUCGGGUAAAAAGAGACUGUGACGAGCUAAGGGCCAAAUACGGGAUCAGUUGUCUCAGUAAAAAACGAUGGCAGAUAAGGCAUUUUCCCUUAUCAUGACGAAGGUAUAGAGCAUGAAUCCAGAAGUGUUGGUACCCUGGGUCAAGAGAUACGUUAACAAGGCAAUUGAAGUGUAACAUAUGUAUAAAUUUAAAAUAAGAAUGAGGCGGUGAUUAAGGAUUUUGGCGGUUGAGGAAUUUUAAAAUAAAAGAAGCUGGAAAAACAAAGCAAAAACAGACACAUGCACGUGCGAGAGAAGCUGCCAAACCGACCCAACUACAAACCCGAAAACCCGUCCCAACCCGCGAAUGUAACCCGGCCAUAUCUCGCAAUUUCGGCCACCACUCCGGCCAAGCAAGGUAUCAAUCGAAAGCUUGUGAGACGCUGGUCAUACUUUAACUGUCAUCUUCGUCGGAAAUCGACUGGAACGCCGCCGUUUAAGGCUUGAAAAACCACAGCCAAAACCCAUCACUACCGCCAUUGAUCUUACCGAAAUUUGACCACGCCACCACCUCAGUUUUGUUCCCCACGACUCCCUCUUCCAUUUCCGACCAUCCACUGCCGUCGGGGACAUCGUUUUGCCGUUGAUCGGCCGUUGAAGGACUUACGGCUUUGGGAGCUCGAUCCGAAGCCAUCGCCACGCGUAGGAGGUCAUUACCGCCACCAUUGGACUCAAUGUGGCCAUAACUUUCAGACUUGAGCUUUCUAGCCAGCGUUGACCAAAUUCUGGUGACUGUUGACCACCAAGGGCAUUUAGGUAAUUUCACAGUAUGAGGGCAAUUUUGUAAUUUCUAAGCCUAUGGAUAUUUUAAUAAUUCCUAGAAUUGAAGAUUGGGUGUAAUUACGAUUCUGAGGGUAAUUCGGUGAUUUGCGAUUUCAGAGUAUUUUAAUGAUUUACGGACUUGAGGGCAUUUUAGCAAUUUUAUCGACACGGGAGUUGUAAAUUAUGGAUAGAUGUUCGUUUCGAGUUUAUUGCAUAAAUUUAGUUGUAAUUUCGAUUUACGGAAAAUAAUUAUGUCAUUUCCUUGAUUUAGGAGGAUCCGCGAGCGAGAACUGGUCCGCAGACGUAGACGAUAACUGAGUGUGAACACCGUCACUGUGAGUGGAAUAUACAAAACCUAUUUUCAUAGUUAAUUAUGAUAGUAAAGCAUGUUUGCGAAAUAAGUAUUUUAAAUGUUCUGAUUUAAUGAUUCCCUCAAAAUGAAUUUUAUUAACGCAUUGAUAUUUUAUUAAAAUGUUUGGUUAAUGAUUUUGCGUAUCGACUUUGAAUAAGCAUGUUAGUAUUUUAAAGAUAAGAAAAGUGGAUUCAAAUGAGGUAUGAUUUAAAGUAUGGUUAAAAGGUAUGUGAAUAUGAGUAUAAUGAUUAUUUUUUAAAUCAUUAGACAAUACCAUUCCCCUCCAGAUACAGUGAUACAGAUGUGAUGAGAUAGAGGCCUUUGGGGCCCGUCUGAACACACAUAGAGGCUUUGGGCCAUGUGUUUGGGCGCUUUUUCUUUUGGGGGCAUAUGCACGCGGUAUGAUGAUUACAGAGAUACAGAUAUGAGAUACAGAAAGAUAUUGAGAUGCAGAUGAUAUAGAUGAGAUACAGGCCUUUGGGGCCCGUUUGAGUACACAGAGGCUUUGGGCCGUGUGCUUGGGCGUUUUUGUCUUUUGGGGACUAGAUUAUGCAUGCACAGAUAUGAUGAGAUAUGAGAUGGUAUUUCCUUGUCUAUCCGUGUAACUCCGGGGCAUGACGGUAUCCAUAUAGUACGUCAUUGCCCGUCCGUUGAGGUCCGGAUACGAUGAGAUUAUUUCCAUGGGUACUUGUUUGGUGAUGAUUUUCAAAUUUGUGUAUUAUAUAUGAUAUUGUGAUAUGAUUUCCAUGGUUAGUAAUCUGAUUUAAAUGUUAAAUGAUUUAUUAAUGGUUUCUCGCAUAUGGUUUGAUGAAAUCAUGUUUGGAAAUGAUAUGAUUAUUUCUUUUUAAAUAAGAAUUAAUUUUCAAAAACUACUAUUCACUCACUGAUCUCACUGAGUUUUAAACUCACCCCGUUUUUAUUUUAUUUUUCCCUACACCAGGAGGUUGUAGGUACACCAGACCGACCCAGCGACUGUAAAUAUAUUUUGAGUCUUGGCCACGUGAUAGUGUUAGAAGAUAUAGAUGAUUUUGUUAGGACAUUUAAGUUAUCUUGUCCUUUUGGGAUUGUAUAAUUUUGUUAUAUUAUUCUUUUGGGAUUAAGAAUAAACUGAGAUAUUAAUAUUAGUUAUAAUAUUAUUUUUUGAGACUUUA